This 5210-nucleotide long non-coding RNA is filed under the name Setaria italica (foxtail millet). Its description in RNAcentral is "long non-coding RNA (SITA_LNC002935)". Lineage: Eukaryota; Viridiplantae; Streptophyta; Magnoliopsida; Poales; Poaceae. The record is from RNAcentral.
GUCAUGUGGGGACGCACCUACAUUAGGAGGAAGCGGGCCCGCGACGUACGCCGAGCCGCCGAACGCGCAGAUCGCGCGGUGAUCGCGGCCAGGAGCGAGGCUGGCUCAAACGACGCUCGUGGCUAGCCAGGGAAGAUAGAGUUGGAUUCUAUUUUAGUUAGAGUUGGAUUCUAGAUUAAAGGAGUCUGUUUCCUAUUUUAGCUUCAGGCCACCGGCCAUAUAUAUUCAUUGUAACCCGUACAUGGGGAUUAAGGAAUAUCAAAAUCAAUCUACUCCUCUCUACCUUCUUCAACCUAAGCCCAGCAGAUCGUGAGGGGUAAAACCUCCGUCCCUGGAAGACACGGCAGGAGGCUACGAACUUCGUAGUCGAGGGCCAGCUACCCGAGGGUCUGAGGCCCUUGACAACCUGGUAUCACGUUCCCGGCGAUCCGCUCAGUCCCGGUCUUCGUCCCCGCCACGCCUGACCUCUGCAGCCGCCGCCACCCCACCACCCGCAACCGCCGUUCCAAUCUCAUCCGCCUCGUUGUCCACUGGUUUGUGCACGGCAGCCAUGGGUGAUCUCGAUGCCCUCAAGUCCACCGUGGAGAAGCUUGCUGAAGCCGUCGCGUCCCUGCAAGCUACCACGCAGGCUAAUGCCAAGACGAUGGAGGCUCAGGCUAACGCGAUCGCGGCACUCUCGGCCGAUCGUUCGUCCUCAUCAGGCAGCAAGGCCCUGUCCGGGGAACACUUCCAGGACCGGCCGCCCAAGCAUCAGAAGAUGGACUUUCCGCGUUAUGACGGCAAGUCCGACCCGCUCGCGUUCAUCAACCGAUGCGAGUCAUACUUCUUCCAGCAACGGAUCAUGGAGGAAGAGAAGACGUGGCUGGCGUCGUAUAACCUCGUCGACGGCGCCCAGAUGUGGUACAUCCAGGUCCAGACGGACGAAGGCACACCGUCCUGGCGCCGUUUCAAGGAAUUGAUCAACCUGCGGUACGGACCGCCGCUACGUUCUGCGCCUCUCUUCGAGCUGGCGGACUGCCGUCGCACGGGGACCGUCAAGGAGUACCAGGAACGUUUUCAGGCGCUCCUGCCCCGAGCCGGCCGACUGGACGAAAUCCAGCGUGUCCAACUCUUCACCGGCGGGCUCCUCCCUCCGCUCAGCCUCGCCGUACAGGUCCAGAACCCGCAAUCCCUUGCGGCAGCAAUGAGUCUCGCUCGGCAGCUGGAGCUCAUGGAGCAGUACCAGCCCACGCCGGCCAAGGCUGCCCCUCGCGCCAUCCUGCCGGCACCACCGCCGCGCCAGGCCGCACCCCAGCCAACGGCGCCCAAGGCACCCACGCCUACGGUCACCAUCGAGGGGCGUCCGGUGAAGCGUCUCACCCAGACGGAACAGGAGGAAUGGCGCCGCCUCGGCCUAUGCUAUAACUGCGAUGAGAAGUACGGGCGGGGCCACAACCGGGUCUGCAAAAAGCUCUUCGUCCUCGACAGCAUCGAAGAAGACGACGACGCCGCUGCCGAGGGCAGUGCCGACGGCCCCGCCGGGGCGGACGCGCUGGUGUUCUCUUUGCAUGCCGUGGCGGGCGUCCGCGUUGGCAAGACCAUCCAAGUCCGGGUCCAGCUGGGCUCCGAGGUCCUCACGGCCCUCCUCGACACCGGAUCGACGCAUAAUUUCAUCUCGGAGGCUGCUGCAGUCCAAACCGGCCUGCCACCGCAACAACGACCACGUCUCACGGCCAUGGUGGCCAACGGGGAGCGCAUCUCCUGCCCUGGAGUGCUGCGGCAGGUGCCGAUCACCAUCCAGGGUGCACGCUUCAAUGUCGACCUGUAUAUAAUGCCACUGGCAGCCUACGACAUGGUUCUGGGGACGCUCUGGAUGGAGACAUUGGGGCCGAUCGUGUGGGAUCUUUCUGCCCGCACCCUGUCCUUCCAGCGCUAGGGGCGUGAGGUCUGCUGGACGGGCGUGCCUUCGGCGGACGAGCCGUGCGUCCAGUCUGCUACGGCCACCCCCUCCCUCCUCGAUGAGCUGCUCUCCGCGUUCUCAGAUGUCUUCGCCGAGCCAGUCGGUUUGCCCCCGCCAAGAGGCCGUGAGCACACCAUUAUCUUGAAGCCCGACGCGCAGCCGGUCGCGGUUCGCCCUUACCGCUACCCGGCGUCCCACAAGGAUGAGUUGGAGCGGCAGUGUGCCGCUAUGAUGGAGCAGGGCGUCGUUCGCCGCAGCACUUCGGCGUUCUCGUCGCCGGUCCUCCUCGUCAAGAAGGCCGACGGGACGUGGCGCUUUUGCGUGGACUAUCGCGCCCUCAACGCCCUCACCAUUAAGGACGCGUUCCCCAUUCCGGUGGUGGACGAACUGCUCGACGAGCUGCACGGCGCGCGGUUCUUCAGCAAGUUGGACCUGCGAUCGGGCUAUCACCAAGUCCGCAUGCGGGCGGAAGACAUACACAAGACGGCGUUCCACACUCACGAUGGGCUCUACGAGUUCCUUGUGAUGCCGUUCGGGCUGUGCAACGCCCCGGCGACAUUUCAGGCGCUCAUGAACGAUGUGCUCCGCCCCUACCUGCGCCGGUUUGUCUUGGUUUUCUUUGACGAUAUACUUAUCUACAGCAGGACAUGGGCCGAUCAUCUUCGUCAUCUUCGCACCGUCCUCGCCCUCCUCCGUCUCCAUCGCCUCUUCAUCAAGCGAUCCAAGUGCGCGUUCGGUGUCACGGCUGUGGCGUACCUCGGCCACAUCAUCUCCGAAGCGGGCGUGGCUAUGGAUCCGGCCAAGGUGCAGGCCAUCCAUGACUGGCCAGUACCCCGGUCCGCUCGUGCCGUGCGAGGCUUCCUCGGCUUGGCGGGCUACUACCGGAAGUUCGUCGCCAACUACGGGGCCGUCGCCGCGCCUCUGACAGCCCUCCUCAAAAAGGAUGGCUUCUCGUGGACUGACACCGCGGCCUCCGCCUUCGCCGAUCUCAAGGCCGCGGUCACGUCCGCCCCUGUGUUGGCUAUGCCCGACUUCGACAAGGGCUUCGUCGUCGAGUGUGAUGCCUCGACGCAUGGGUUUGGCGCCGUUCUCAUCCAGGAGGGCCACCCGCUCGCCUACUUCAGCAGACCCGUCACCCCCCGACACCGCUCUCUCGCUGCCUAUGAGAGGGAACUGAUCGGCCUCGUCCACGCCGUUCGUCAUUGGAGGCCCUAUUUGUGGGGACGCCGUUUCGUCGUCAAGACUGAUCAUUAUAGCCUCAAGUACCUGCUGGACCAGCGGCUCUCGACGAUUCCACAACACCAUUGGGUGGGAAAGCUGUUGGGCUUUGACUUCACGGUGGAAUACAAGCCUGGCGCGGCGAACACGGUGGUUGACGCGCUCUCACGCCGCGACACGGACACGGGGGCCGUACUGGCAAUCUCGGCGCCACGGUUUGAUUUCGUCGAGCGUCUCCGUCAAGCUCAAGCUGCUGACCCGACCUUAGUGGCCAUUCAUGAUGAAAUUCGCGCAGGUACUCGUGGCGAGCCGUGGAAGGUCGUGGAUGGCGUACUCCAGUUCCGUGGCCGCCUCUACCUUCCACCUGCGUCCCCGUUCGUCCAGGAGAUCAUAGCGGCUAUUCACGACGACGGGCAUGAGGGAGUGCAGCGCACGCUUCAUCGUCUUCGCCGCGACGUCCACUUUCCCGACAUGCGCCGCCUCGUGCAGGAUUUCGUGCGCGCGUGCGAUACGUGCCAACGCUACAAGUCCGAGCAUCUCCAUCCGGCCGGACUGCUGCUGCCCCUGCCGGUGCCGCAAGGUGUUUGGACUGACAUUGGUCUGGACUUCGUGGAGGCCUUGCCGCGUGUCCGUGGGAAGUCCGUGAUCCUCACUGUGGUGGACAGGUUCAGCAAAUAUUGCCACUUCAUUCCCAUGGCCCACCCCUACACCACCGAAUCCAUCGCACAAGCUUUCUUCACCGACAUCGUCAGGCUGCACGGCGUACCGCAGUCCAUGGUGUCCGACCGCGACCCAAUAUUCACCUCCACGUUCUGGAAGGAACUCAUGCGGCUCAUGGGUACUAAGUUACAUAUGACGACCGCUUUCCACCCUCAGGCCGACGGGCAGACAGAGGCGGCCAACCGCGUCAUCGUCAUGUAUCUUCGCUGCUUCACCGGCGAUCGUCCUCGACAGUGGGUCCGCUGGCUCCCUUGGGCGGAGUACGUUUACAACACCGCCUACCAAACAUCGUUGCGGGACACGCCUUUCAGGGUGGUCUAUGGUCGUGAUCCGCCCACCAUCCGGUCCUAUGAGCCAGGCGAGACUCGUGUGCCUGCUGUCGCCCGCACCAUGGCGGAACGUGAGGAAUUCUUGGCAGAUGUCCACUACCGCCUGGAGCAAGCACAGGCCCUCCAGAAAAAAUACUACGACAAGGAUCAUCGUCCAGUUUCAUAUGUUGUGGGCGACUUUGUGCUCCUUCGCCUUCGUCAUCGCGCUCCAGCUUCGCUGCCUCAGGUCACCAAGGGCAAGUUGAAGCCCCGCUUUUUCGGGCCGUAUCGUGUCGUCGAGCUGAUCAACCCCGUCGCCGUCCGUCUCGAGUUGCCUCCACGCGCCAAGCUUCAUGAUGUGUUCCACGUCAGUCUUCUCAAGAAGUAUGUUGGACAUACUCCGGCUGCACCACCCGUCCUGCCGGCCAUCCAUCACGGCGCGGUCGAGCCCGAGCCCGAGCGUGUGAUGCGCGCGCGCCUGGCCCGGGGAGUUCAGCAGGUGCUCGUUCAUUGGAAGGGGGAGACUGCAGCUUCAGCUACUUGGGAGGAUCUUGACACUUUCCGCGAGCGCUAUCCAGCGUUCCAGCUCGAGGACGAGCUGGCCCUCGAGGGGGGGAGAGAUGUCAUGUGGGGACGCACCUACAUUAGGAGGAAGCGGGCCCGCGACGUACGCCGAGCCGCCGAACGCGCAGAUCGCGCGGUGAUCGCGGCCAGGAGCGAGGCUGGCUCAAACGACGCUCGUGGCUAGCCAGGGAAGAUAGAGUUGGAUUCUAUUUUAGUUAGAGUUGGAUUCUAGAUUAAAGGAGUCUGUUUCCUAUUUUAGCUUCAGGCCACCGGCCAUAUAUAUUCAUUGUAACCCGUACAUGGGGAUUAAGGAAUAUCAAAAUCAAUCUACUCCUCUCUACCUUCUUCAACCUAAGCCCAGCAGAUCGUGAGGGGUAAAACCUCCGUCCCUGGAAGACACGGCAGGAGGCUACGAACUUCGUAGUCGAGGGCCAGCUACCCGAGGGUCUGAGGCCCUUGAC